This 228-nucleotide ribosomal RNA is filed under the name uncultured Gardnerella sp. Its description in RNAcentral is "partial 16S ribosomal RNA". It matches the Rfam family "Bacterial small subunit ribosomal RNA", at positions 126 to 355 of the family's 1533-position model. The record is from RNAcentral. Lineage: Bacteria; Bacillati; Actinomycetota; Actinomycetes; Bifidobacteriales; Bifidobacteriaceae.
UAGCCCCACUGCUCCAGAAUAGCUCUUGGAAACGGGUGGUAAUGCUGGAUGCUCCAACUUGACGCAUGUCUUGUUGGAAAGUGUUAGUGGCAUGGGAUGGGGUCGCGUCCUAUCAGCUUGUAGGCGGGGUAAUGGCCCACCUAGGCUUCGACGGGUAGCCGGCCUGAGAGGGCGGACGGCCACAUUGGGACUGAGAUACGGCCCAGACUCCUACGGGAGGCAGCAGUU